Otolemur garnettii (small-eared galago) is the source of this 112-nucleotide small nuclear RNA. Its record names the gene U5. It matches the Rfam family "U5 spliceosomal RNA". From Rfam's summary of the family: U5 RNA is a component of both types of known spliceosome. NCBI's taxonomy places the organism in Eukaryota, Metazoa, Chordata, Mammalia, Primates, Galagidae. The record is from Ensembl.
AUGCGCUGGUUUCUCUUUAGAAUGAAUAAACCUUUUGCCUUUUACUAAAGAUUUCUAUGAAGAGCAACAAUUGUGAAUUGGUAACCAAAUUUGGUUUAGACAGGACUAAAAC